UACUAUAUCCUCCUGGGAGUCAGGAUAUGCCCUCUCGUACGUAUAGACGUACUGGUUGACCUCUGGAUGUUCCCUGGCCGCCUCGUCCAUGAAGACAGCGAACGGUCUAGAACCGGCAUGAUGGUUCCUUGUGUUGCGUUGCCGGUUCUGAGCGUUCACCCGGGAAACCGCCUUCAAAGAAAAAAGUAAACUAUUAGUAAAAUAUUUUAAAACGCACGUACUUAAUGAUAAAUUAACUAAUUAAUUUAUUUAAAUACCUGUUUACGAGGGUUGUUGAAUUCUGAUGUCAGAAGCCAACGCCACUCGUACUCUCUGUACUGGAACUCAGCAGGGGUAGCAGAACGUGCGUUCCCGUGUGUAGUCCAAUGGGUCCGCAACUCGUUCUUCCACUCCUUGUACCUACAGAUACAACAAAAAUAUUAGAAAUAUUAUUAAUAUGACAUACAGUUUUGUUUAUUCAUUAAUUUCCCAACGUACCUUCCUCCAUGCACAAAGUCCGCCCAGCUGCUCUUCAAGGGCUCGGGAACCUCAAACCACGCCUGCAUUUAACCGUUUAUUAGUUUAGUUUUUCCAGAAAUCUACAAUGUAAUACAUAAUAUUAUUCAGGCAUUUUAGAAACUGACCGACAUCGCGUUGUGGACCAUGUCCUUAACCUCCUGCGGGACCUCGCCCCACUCUGACCACAACAUAGGGACUCUAUCCCUAAUGAGCGCUCCCACGCGGCCGGAGUACGUCCUCGACUUCCCGCCCGAUAUUACGUCGCCAUCCCCGUCAGUACCGAUGACAAUCCUCCCUGAGGUACCGACGAUCUUCUCGAGAGCCUUCCCUGUGACGGGGCCUCUCUUCUUUUUUGCCGGCUUCGCUCCGACGGUGCCUAUCACAUGAUAACCAAAUUGAUUAUUAAAAUCGGAGAAUUAUAAGAAAACACAUCAUUCAUCUUUCAUUACCUGAGGGCGAGGAGGCGGACGCGACGGAUUCCGCCUCCGAUGAUGAUACCCUCGCCGAAAUAAGAGGCGUAUCAAAA
This 1024-nucleotide long non-coding RNA is filed under the name Fragaria vesca (wild strawberry). RNAcentral describes it as "long non-coding RNA (FVES_LNC004437)". The record is from RNAcentral. Lineage: Eukaryota; Viridiplantae; Streptophyta; Magnoliopsida; Rosales; Rosaceae.